UACGUAGGGUGCAAGCGUUAAUCGGAAUUACUGGGCGUAAAGCGUGCGCAGGCGGUUGUGCAAGACCGAUGUGAAAUCCCCGGGCUUAACCUGGGAAUGGCAUUGGUGACUGCACGGCUAGAGUGUGUCAGAGGGGGGUAGAAUUCCAGGUGUAGCGGUGAAAUGCGUAGAUAUCUGGAGGAAUACCGGUGGCGAAGGCGGCAUCCUGGACCGGCAUUGACGCUGAGGAGCGAAAGCCAGGGGAGCAAACGGG
Molecule: ribosomal RNA, 253 nt
Filed under: uncultured bacterium
Lineage: Bacteria
Description: partial 16S ribosomal RNA
Rfam family: Bacterial small subunit ribosomal RNA
Source: RNAcentral